GAAUAUCGAAAAAGAAAAAAGGUGGUGGUCUGGUCUAAGGAGGGGAGGUGGGCGUGGUGGAUGCGAUGUGCGCCGACCUGUUAUCCUCCCACCGUCAAGAGAGAGUGGUGAUCGCUGCUCUGUGAAGCCAGCCUGACGCGGUGCCCUCUGCUCUAAGAACCAAGAAGCACAGGCCUUCGCCCAAGCCGCAUGGCUCAAUCUACCUGACUUGGAACGGGCAGGCCAGGCUUCUACACGAUCGCAACCAACCCAGAUGUGGCUCCAUAGACCAUUCCAAACCUCAUUUGCCCACGCUUGUGUUACAAGCCAACGCUACCUGGCUCGGCGAUAGAAGCGCUUCCAAAGCUUAAGAUAAGGUUUAUACAUCUAAUUAGAAUGGCGAUGUGGGACUAAUUCAACAUUCGUCCUCAGCGAUUCAUGCACCAAUUGUUUAUUGUCUUUCUCUUCUUUGACGUAAAAGCUUCGGUUGUCAUAUAUUGAUUUAUCAUUCGGAGUAGAUCGAAAUUAUCGUUAAAGUUUAAUGGCUAAGGAUUGCAUGGAUCAUCAUCUUAGACCAUUAGUGACUGCAUAGAUCAUCAUGGGUGGGUGUAAAUGACUAUUUGUCAAGUUUCGUCAUUGAACCUUAUAAUUAGUUAUGAACAAAUCAUUACCUUAUCGAAAUGGUUAACAGUACUAUUGUAGAUUUCUUUGUGUCUUUCUUACUUACGAAGUAGACUUUGAAUUCUUUUACUGACCAUUUGAAAGAUAUGAUCGAAGUAAGAUGAAAUUGAGAGUAGAGAAUUUCUUUUAAAAAAAGUACAACAUAUGAGUGUGAGAAAUAGUGUGUGGGGCCAUUUGCAUCAUGAAUGCAUCGACAUGAUCCAGAGCUUCCAUAAAAAAUCUCUAGAUUUGGUAGAUGAAAUUAGAGAGAACAAGUUUCUCAAAAAUUUAAUGAGUGAUAGGAGAUUCGCUCGAUAGAACCACUUAGUAAAGUUCUUAACCCUUUUGGAUCUCAUGUUACAUGUCAUCAAUUGUUCAUGCGAAGGUAUACUCAUCUUAUUAGUGGAGUGCACCUCAUAUUGAGGUAGACAUGGUUGAGGCUAGACUUGAGGCUAGACUUGAUUGGCCUAUUGAGGAAGCAAUUACGAUGGUAAGGGAGAGGCUUGUGAUAUUGGGUGUGGGAUGAUCGACUCGGAGUUCUCUAUGAUGCUCAAAAUUGAUCUCGAUUAUGAAUUUUUUUAUGGUUUAUAAAUAAUUAGAUUGUGUUGUUAUGCGUUAUAUCAAUUAUGAGUGAAAGAGACAAUAGUCUAUAUCAUCAUAGUCGAGUCUUAUUGGGUGACUCCAUAGAAGUCCUUAGCUAGUUGACUUGAGCUAGACUCCCAAUUGAAAAUAAAAACCAUGAUCACUUACGACUCUCAUUGAUAGCAUAUAUCUAGAAUCAAUCUGGAUGCUCAUAUAAAGAGGUCGACUUCCUUUUAACAUUAUGGUAAGAUUAAAUUUGGUCAUCAAUUCAAUUUGAUACAAAUGAUUUGACUUAAUCUGUUUUUGAGUAUGAUAAAAAGAAGUCAUUAAGUAUUUGAACAGUAUCAUGCGUCCCUUAACCCAAUUGGAUUCAAGAAUCAAUUAUAUUUGUACCUUAUAUCAUGUUUUUUUUUUUUAAACUUUAUAGGGUUUGUUUGGUAAAAUCACUCUGAUGAUUAAAUUAGUGUACGUCUAUAAGCAUCUAAAGCCGAUGUGUGUGUUAAGUAAAUUUUGAAUGAAAUCAUAGUUAAGAAGAUCACCUUAUAUAACAUCAUUCUAAUAAUUAUCUUGCUUCUUACACAAGGAUUUGUCUAGUAAAUUAAUAUAUGCUCAUAAGCAUCUAAAACCAGUGAGUAUUUAUUAACUUCUUCAUCACUUUCGAUAACUAAUAUAUAACAUGUCUAGCCUAUAUAUAACAUGUUAUAUGUUAUAUAUAAGUUAUAUAACAUCAUGCAAGCUUAUUAAUUGCAUGCUCUUUUGAAGCAAAUUGUUUCUUGGAAAAUCUAUUUGUUAGUGAACCGAUGCACUGCUGUGGUUGAUGAGUUAGCACGACUUAAUUCACGGAUCGAUGUCGGGAGUCUUCGAUCGUCUGAGCUGGUUGCUGAGGUCGGAAAGCUGGUUGGUGGCUCUUACUCGAGACGUUGGUUGAUGGUUCUCCGCCGGGAUGCUGGUCGGCGCGUAGGGGGAGGCAAUCUCUCUUGAUCGAAAUGAUCUUGCUUUGGGGAUGAUCGCUCUCUUGCACAGAAGGACCCGUCGGGUGAUUACCGAUUGUGACCCCUCAAUCAAUCAAUCAGUGUGGAGUUAUCUUUUUUCCUUUUUUCCCCUUGGCCAGAUGCCGCCAUGAGCUUUUAUACUAUUGUACGAGGGUUGGUCAUACGCGGGUUUGGCAUGACGAUCGAUCCUCGAGAGGUGAGAUGGUACCUUUAUGCGACCGCCGUCCCAGGCUUACCGGGUCGGGACAUACCGAGCAACGUCUUAGUAUGAUCUUUGGCUCAGUGUGUGGGGGUGCUCCCCUGACUUGACUGUAGCGUAGCAUGACCUCGAUUGUGACGUGGCCUGAAGCCAAAAUGUAUCUUAUCACUGUUAAUGAUAGAUUAAUACAUCUUUAUCGAAUGGAAAUGAUGCAAAUGUUUACUCGUAAGGAUAGGUGAAACCAUUUCAAAUUGAAUUGGACGUCAAUUUAAUUCAAAAUUUUAAAGUUAAUAAAUUAUAGGUUAGACUCGAAUAUAUAUCAUUCGGCUUUCUAUGUUUAUCAAUAUGAGGCUAUUUUCUUCGUCAUCUUUUUCAAUCUCUCCUCACACAUGAAUAUCUUCUUUGAACAUAAUUACCUGAAAUGAGCUUGCAUCAGAUAACUAAAACCAGAUGACUCAUGUGGCAUUUUCUUGACAGUGUUCUAAGAUGUGUUCUUUCCGUAAUAGAUGCACAUCUUUGUCUUGUAUGAUGGAACAGUAGAAAGCCUGAUGAACAGUAGAAACCAUGCACCUCAAGACCAAGAGUAAAAUAUAAGCAGGCAAUGAAAGAAUUCAGCAAUUAUUUUCGAACCCCAUCAACAAAGAAUAUCUACUAAACGAACAAUAUAUUAUCUGCAGGGCACCGAACAGGGAAAAAAAUUGGAAGCUAUAAUCCUCGUUAAAAGGCAAAACUUACGAGCUUUAUGGCAACCUCUUCGUUUGUUUAGAGAUUAAUUCCUGCAUCAAAAGAUAACAACAACAACAACAACCCCACACGAUCAGAUUUUUAUCAUUCCUGCAACAAAAAAAAGGAAAAAUCUGCACGAAGUAGCACCCGAAUUGAGAAAAGAUCGAAACCGAAAGAGGCCACAGACCUAAAUAGAUCUCUCCAAAGGAACCGCUCCCGAUCUUGCGACCAAGGCGGAACUUGUCCCCCACGCGAGGCUCCAUCCGACGGAGAUCAGAAACAGGAGCGACCGCAACGCUCCCGACUCAAACCAUGUCCAAAGAAAAAGAGGGUCCAACAAGAACGGCGAAGCCCCACACUCGAUAUCACGAAGACAUCAUCGACUCACCGUAACGAAAGAAGAAGAUGAUACAAGGAUUCCGGCAAUUCGAUCACGCAAGGAUUUCGCAAUCGAGAUUAAUCGAUCGAGGAAUUAAGACGAGGAUGUCAGUGUCAUUAAGACGAGAGAUCUGCUUGCAAAAAAGUAGGGUUUGACGGAGAGGGAGAGAAGGGGAAAGAGCAGAGAGUGGAAGGGAAGAAGCAGAGGAUAACGUAUUCGGUCACGCUUUAUUCCCGUUGGUGUUGGAACAGCUUGUACGGAAUAGCGUACUAACCAUACAGCAAACUCCAACCUACGUAUUAGGCAAAAUUGUAGUAUUGCGCAACUUUGGAGUCAUGUUUUGGCGUCACCUUUGAGGUGAGGACUUAUAGUCAUCAUUACAUUCAUAAACGAUUUAAUUAUGCUUUAUUUAUUUAUUUUUAUUUUGGAUGAAUAUAUUGUAUGCAAAAAAAAAAAGGAAAGGAUUUUAGAAUGCAUCAAACGUCUUAGAUUUUUUUUUUAACUAUGGACAAAUGCUUUUUUUUUCCUGCAUAAUUGCGUUUUCUUUGAUGUUUGAUGCUUUAUAUAUUUUUUAAUUCCGAAUGAAUAUAUUAUGUAAAAAAAUAUUUUAAAAUAUAUUAAAUAUUUUAUUUUUUUUAGAAUGUUCAAAUGUUUCAAAUAUUUUUUUUAUUUUGGAUAAAUAUAUCUUAUGCAAAAGAAACACAUGCGUCACACGCAACGACUUGAUCCCAUUGAAUAUCUUGAAUGAUUUUUUAUUUUAGAUAAAGGUUUAUUUAUCAUAUCAUAUGUCUUGGAUUUUUUUUUUUUCAUAGACAGAUAUAUCAUGUACGAAGAGGAUGUGUUGGUCGUUUCGAAUACGUUUUUUGAUUUAGACGGAUAUAUAAGAAUGUGUUGAUAAAAAGGACUUAUAUAUGUUUAUAUUAUAGUUUUUGACAUAAAUGAUGGUGUGGCGCAGUGGUGAAAAUUCUCAACCAUUAAAAAAAUAAUAAUAAUCUCGAUCAGAAUGAACAUAAACUACGUUUCUUUUCUUUCGUGAGUUGAGGAAGAUGGAUUUGACCAGUUGAGAUUGGGCGAUUGAGUUGGUUGGCCUGACGCAUCGAUGAAGAAGAAUGUGGAGCGAGAGAAGGAAGAGUUAGAGAUAGUCAUACAUAUAUAUAAGUCCUUCGUCAAUCGUUUUAACACGUACAAAGGUCGGUAUGGGUGAUAAAGGGAGAGAAAGAUGGCAUGGUUUAAUUAGUUAGAGGUGCAAACGAUUAUCUUUUGUGAGACUGUGUUGAAAAGAAUAAAGACUUUUAUUCUUCUGUUUUUUGGUGAGGGUGAGAGGUUGGGACUACGUAGGAAUGGCUGUGUGGGGAGGAUGGAGACUUCUUUUCUGAGGUUGAUAGGUGGGCGACUGUGUAGGAGGAAAGCCCGACCUGUUGACAUUGGGAUCUAAGAAGAUUGGCUGGCCCGACUUGGAUUUCCCUAUUUGUGUUACAAGUUUUAAUUAUUAUGGGCUGAUGCUUAAAAUGGCGGUAAACAAUUUCAUUUUUAGAGUGAAUAGUGAGUUGUAAUCUUCCAUUAGCUCCUCACAACAAAUCUAUGAUCAAUUUAACGACUUGGUCAUCUUGAACGUGUGAUCGUAUCUUACGGGCAUGACCAUUUUGAGGAAAGUGGUUAUAUGAUCAUUUCGAGGUUUUGAAAGACGUAAUUGAUUUGAGGAGUGAUCAUCAUUAUAAUAUGAUUGACUCGAGGAUUGAUCGAGUUGGAGUGAGAUCCAAUCUUGGGCGCAUAUAUUUGCCUCAUUGACACGAUGAGAUAAUGGAGAUUGAGUGAGAUCCAAGCUUGUUUAUUGUUUUUCUUUUCUCCGAUGUAAGAGCUUCGGUUGUCAUAAGAUUUACCAUUUGGAGUGAUUGAAAUUAUUGUUAAAGUUUGAUGACUAGUGAAUGCAUGGAUUAUCAUAUUAGACCAUUAAUGAAUGCAUAGAUCAUCGUGCGUGGGUGUAAAUGACUACUUGCCAAGUCUUGUCAUUGAACGUUAUAACAUAGUCGAUAAGGUAUAUUUUGGAUUCUGAUCACGUCACGACCCAUGUUGCAUCACGCCCCUGCCAAGUUAGCACGAGGGGUGCUUCCUUGUGCUGAGCCGAAGCCCGUACAGGGAGGCGUCCCCUCGGCGAGUCCCAUCCCGGAAAGCUCGGGAUGGUGCCGCAUGGCGCCAUUCCGUGCAUACCAGGCGACGAUCGCACAAUAGUACCAUCUCAUCACUCGGGGGAUCGGUAGCCAUGCCAAAUCCGCAUACGACCGAUCCUUUGGCAAUAGCAUAAAAGCCAAAGAUCGGUAUCUGGCCAGGGGGAAGAAAAAAAGAGAAAAAAGGACUAUUGACUUAAUCUACGAGGGGCCCAAGUCGGGAACCUCCUGACCAGAGCCUAUGUACAAGAACUCGGCCACCCCCCAGAGGCGCAACCAUCCCGAUCGAGAGACGCGUUCCUAAAGACGACGUUAAUAUCCCGACUCCUGAUCCUACCGACAUCAGCACUUCUUCCAAACGGCCAAGAGACGCAUUCCCAGAAGAUAUGACGUUAACAUCCCAACCCCUAAUCCAACCAACUCUAGCACUUUGCCCAACCGAUCGAGAUCUCCUGACAUUGACUUGUGGAUGAAGUCAUGCUGACUUCUCGACCACGACACAUAAGUUUACCAAUAAUCAGAAAUAAAUUAUUAUUUUAUCGAAUGAUUAAUAGCACCAUUGCAGACUUCUUUGUGUCUUUCUUGCUUACAAAGUAGAUUUUGAAUUCUUUUACUAACUAUCUAAAAGAUACGAUCGAGGCAAGAUGAAACUGAGAGUAUCAUUCCCGAGCAUUUCCUUAAAGAAAAGUACAACAUAUGAGAGUAUGAUAGAUGGUGUGUGGCGCCAUUUGCAUCAUGAAUGCAUCCACAUGAUCCAAGGGGUCAUAGAGCUUCCAUCAAAAGUUUCUAGAUUUGAUAGAUGGAAAUUGGAGGGAAUAAAUUUCUCAUGAAUUUAAUGAGUGAUAGGAGUUUUCCUCGACAGAACCACUUAGUCCAGCUCUUAACCCUUUUAGAUCUUGUAUUACAUGUCAUCAACUAUUCAUGCAAAGUUAGACUCGUCUUGUUGGUGGAGUGCACCUCAUAUUGAGGUAGAGAUGGUUGAGACUAGACACGAUUGGCCUAUUGAGGAAGCAAUUACGAUGGUAAAGGAGUGGCUUGUGAUAUUGGGACAGUUGGUGGGAUGAUCGACUUGGAGUUCUCUAUGAUGCUCAAAAUUGAUCUCGAUUAAGAAAUUUUUUAUGGUUUAUAAAUAAUUAGAUUGUGUGUUGUUAUGAGUUAUGUCAAUUAUGAGUGAAAGGGACAAUGGUCUAUAUCAUCCUAGUCGAGUCUUAUUGGGUGAAUCCAUAUAAGUCCUUAGCAAGCUGACUUAGAGUUAGAUUUUCAAUUGGAAAGAAAAACCAUGAUCACUUAGGACUCAUUGAUAGCAUAUAUCUAGAAUCAAUCUGGAUGCUCAGGUUGACUGUUGUAAUAAAAAUUAAGAGACAUGUUUCUUCGUCAAUAUGUUCUUAUGGGGACUUUCUAUAUUUGAUUUUCUUAUAAUAUUAUUUUAAGGGCCUUCCUUUUAACGCUAUGCUAAGGUCAAAUUUGGAUGCUCAGGUUGACUGUUGUAAUAAAAAUUAAGAGACAUGUUUCUUCGUCAAUAUGUUCUUAUGGGGACUUUCUAUAUUUGAUUUUCUUAUAAUAUUAUUUUAAGGGCCUUCCUUUUAACGCUAUGCUAAGGUCAAAUUUAGUCAUCAAUUCAACUUGGUAAAAAUGAUUCGACUUAGACUUGUUUUUUAGUACUAUCAUAUAUGAAAAAAUAAAUUAUUAAGUAUUUAAAACUUGGAUGAUGGAAAUUUUUUUUGAAUAGUAUCAUGCGCCCUUAUCCCAAUUUGAUUUAAGAAUCAAAUAUAUUUAUAAUUUUAUUAGAGCAAAUAACAUAUCACUAGUCAAAUUUAAUUUAUUGACUAUAAUAUCUUUAAAAAUCUUCUAUAAUAUUUCUAAAUUUUAAAAUGCUUUUUAAUUUUUUGGACGAAUAUCGAAAAAUAAAAAAGGCCGUGGUCUGGUCUAAGGAGGGGAGGUGGGCGUGGUGGAUGCGAUGUGCGCCGACCUGUAAUCCUCCCACCGUCAAGAGAGAGCGGUUAUCGUUGCUCUGUGAAGCCAGCCUGACGCGGUGCCCUCUGCUCUAAGAACCAUGAAUCACAGGCCUUCGCCCAAGCCGCAUGGCUCAGCUACCUGACUUGGAACGGGCAGGCCAGGCUUCUACACGAUCGCAACCAACCCAGCUGUGGCUCCAUAGACCAUUCCAAACCUCAUUUGCCCCCGCUUGGGUUACAAGACAACGCUACCUGACUCGGCGAUGG
RNAcentral lists this long non-coding RNA (7904 nucleotides) under Musa acuminata (dwarf banana). Its description in RNAcentral is "long non-coding RNA (MACU_LNC003663)". Lineage: Eukaryota; Viridiplantae; Streptophyta; Magnoliopsida; Zingiberales; Musaceae. The record is from RNAcentral.